CCCCGUUGGGAGCUGCCUGCCCUGGAGUUCCUUGUCAAGGUCCUCGACUAUCUGGAUGGGAGAGAAUGUCACGGCAGUGUCCAGCAGAUCCUGUCAAGGCACCUGCAGAGCCAGUGCCCAGAGAGACGUCGCCUGGCUCUCAGAGGCCGCAUGGUGCUCUGGAUGGAUCUGUCAAUGGCCGAAAGCAUCUGCAGGCUGUCUCAGCACCUCCUGGAGCUGCUGCCUGAUGCAGAUGGAGACGUGAUGGUUGU
Empidonax traillii (willow flycatcher) is the source of this 251-nucleotide long non-coding RNA. RefSeq lists it as uncharacterized. The record is from RefSeq and is a predicted model, not a curated record. The transcript has 3 exons. Lineage: Eukaryota; Metazoa; Chordata; Aves; Passeriformes; Tyrannidae.